Molecule: ribosomal RNA, 999 nt
Filed under: Bacillus sp. (in: firmicutes)
Lineage: Bacteria; Bacillati; Bacillota; Bacilli; Caryophanales; Bacillaceae
Description: bacterial SSU rRNA
Rfam family: Bacterial small subunit ribosomal RNA
Source: RNAcentral
GACUGGCGGGGUGCUAUACUGCAGUCGAGCGGACAGAUGGGAGCUUGCUCCCUGAUGUUAGCGGCGGACGGGUGAGUAACACGUGGGUAACCUGCCUGUAAGACUGGGAUAACUCCGGGAAACCGGGGCUAAUACCGGAUGGUUGUCUGAACCGCAUGGUUCAGACAUAAAAGGUGGCUUCGGCUACCACUUACAGAUGGACCCGCGGCGCAUUAGCUAGUUGGUGAGGUAACGGCUCACCAAGGCGACGAUGCGUAGCCGACCUGAGAGGGUGAUCGGCCACACUGGGACUGAGACACGGCCCAGACUCCUACGGGAGGCAGCAGUAGGGAAUCUUCCGCAAUGGACGAAAGUCUGACGGAGCAACGCCGCGUGAGUGAUGAAGGUUUUCGGAUCGUAAAGCUCUGUUGUUAGGGAAGAACAAGUGCCGUUCAAAUAGGGCGGCACCUUGACGGUACCUAACCAGAAAGCCACGGCUAACUACGUGCCAGCAGCCGCGGUAAUACGUAGGUGGCAAGCGUUGUCCGGAAUUAUUGGGCGUAAAGGGCUCGCAGGCGGUUUCUUAAGUCUGAUGUGAAAGCCCCCGGCUCAACCGGGGAGGGUCAUUGGAAACUGGGGAACUUGAGUGCAGAAGAGGAGAGUGGAAUUCCACGUGUAGCGGUGAAAUGCGUAGAGAUGUGGAGGAACACCAGUGGCGAAGGCGACUCUCUGGUCUGUAACUGACGCUGAGGAGCGAAAGCGUGGGGAGCGAACAGGAUUAGAUACCCUGGUAGUCCACGCCGUAAACGAUGAGUGCUAAGUGUUAGGGGGUUUCCGCCCCUUAGUGCUGCAGCUAACGCAUUAAGCACUCCGCCUGGGGAGUACGGUCGCAAGACUGAAACUCAAAGGAAUUGACGGGGGCCCGCACAAGCGGUGGAGCAUGUGGUUUAAUUCGAAGCAACGCGAAGAACCUUACCAGGUCUUGACUCCUCUGACAUCCUAAAAAUAGGACUCCCCUUC